ACUUACUACUACUUAUUGUUUUAUUUAAAUCCCCUGUUUAUAUAUAGAUUUAACUCAAAAUAGAGCCAAAGCCAGAUUCAAACUUUCCCUAA
RNAcentral lists this ribosomal RNA (92 nucleotides) under Daphnia pulex (common water flea). Its description in RNAcentral is "partial small subunit ribosomal RNA". Lineage: Eukaryota; Metazoa; Arthropoda; Branchiopoda; Diplostraca; Daphniidae. The record is from RNAcentral.